UCAAAUGCGGAUGAACUCGUGGCAAGACGGAGUUCUUGGUACUAAUUGUCUGAUUCCUCCUAAAUGGAAUUGGACAUAUCAGUUUCAAGUCAAGGAUCAAAGUGGGAGUUUCUUUUACUCCCCUUCUACUAAUUUCCGAAGAGCUUCUGGUGGAUUUGGUCCAUAUGAUGAAAAUUUCAUUAUGAUUGGUGAUUGGUAUAAACAGAACCAUGUGGAUUUAAGAUCAAAACUUAAUGCUGGAAAACUCUCGGAAUUCCAGAUGGUAUUCUUAUCAACGGGAAGGGACCUUAUCAAUACAUUAAUACUCUUGUACCUAAUGGCAUGGAUCAUGAAAAAAUUGAUGUUGAUCCUGGUAUUUUUGUCGGCAUUGCCUUUUAUUGUACACUUUGGUGUUAGUCAUCUUCACCAUUUUUCUUUUCGAGCCAUAUAAUAAUGCUAAUUAGUUUUAUUGGCUAGAAUUAAAACAUGUUUAGAAUGAUGAAAACAAAUCACUUAUUUCUUUCACACAUUCAUCCGUCACUAAAAAUGUAAGUUGCUGCAUAAUAAAUUUAUUGUAAAAUGGUAGCUUUUGACAGAUGGUAGAAAAUGUCUUGCCUUGGUUUACUACUGUUUGGUCUAUUUUCAUUAUACUCUAUGUUAAAUUCUUUUUAUCUUGUGUAUCUUAUUUCAAAUUCCUGUAUUUUUGUAAUUGGUAAGAACCGAUUCUUAAGAAUGGUUUGAUAUUAUGACAUGCUUUGAUUAUGAAAUUAGAUGUGAUUGUGAUUUUCCUUUACUUUAAAUCAGGGACAGACGUGAGCUGGAAUUGGAUUUCAAGAGAUUCUGGGAUGAGUUUUGGUCAUCCAGCUCUGAGAAGGAAAAAGAAGCGGCCUUGAAUUGGAGUAUAGAUGCUUUUUGUAGAUUAGUAAAGCAGCAGGCUAAUGUAGCUCAAUUAGUUACUGUGUUUGUGCAGAAGUUGGUCAAUCCAGUAUAAAAACAGAACUUUCCGAAUAUCACUUCAAAACUGAGGUUAUAAGCUUAAUUUUUUGCCAUAUAUAGAAGGGUGACAAAAUUCAAGCUACGAAACUUUAAGGUACACAGAAUCAACCUUCUCUCUUUAUUCUUUUGGGUAUUGGAAAAACUAAGGUAAGAGAAAUCUACCCUAGAAGAUUUGAAAUUUCUAGAUUAUUUGAUGAUUUAUAGAACCACGCUUCAUCCUUACAAGCUUAAUUUCCAAAUUAAGACAAAAGUACAGGCUUCUGUUUGUCCAGAUAUAUCUUUGUAUGGAUCGUCUCUCACCAAUUUGGCUGAAGUUUCUGCACACCUGCAUAAUUACGAAUUUUUUAGUUGUUGUGAUUGGUGUUAUGACUGCAAUCUCUGCUGAAAGAGAGUAUAUUAGGGAUGGUAAGGUAACAAAAAUGGUUGUGAUAGAGCUUACCGAUUCAAGUGGGAAGUGCGAAUGUGCUCUAUGUGGUGACUAUGUAGAUGAUUUAAGUAAGAAAGUUGGCAAAACUGCUUCAGGCAUUCCUGUUGUUGUCAUACAAUUCGCUAAAGUCAAGAUUUUCAGAGGAUUGCUCUUUAUGGUAUGGACCUUGAUGCUCCAUUUUCUUUGAUUGGUCGGAAUGCAAAUAAUCUAAGGUUCGGAACGUACCACAAUCAAUUCUUGAAGUUUACUUCAUCGGGUACUUCUGGUCGGAAGUUAAUUAUACUCUAGUGGUCAGAAAAGUCUAAUGUAUUUAAAGCCUUGAACCUUAUAUGCAAGAGUCGGGGUUCAAAUCCCGGACACUCCACUUUUUUUUUUUGAAUUCACCUAAAAAAGGUGGAAUUUCAAACCACGAAGUUACCUGACAAAAAACAAAUCCUUGAAGCUUGUUAAUGGUAUUGGUGUACCUUCUCAAUUACAUUAAGACAAACAGAAAGAAGUUAAAGAAUCUGUACGAUACUAGAAGACAUGUUUCCGAAGUACAUCGAGACUUGUUGUCUUCUGAUGUCAAGGAUAAUUUGUGCUUUCACAAUUCAAAUAAAGAUGCUCCAAAAAAAAACUAUCGUGAGAAUCCAAAUAUAGCUAGAUUCCACACACUUGUACCAAUAAUGUAGCUCAUGGAUCAGUUUACUCAUUUUCAUUUUCAUCUUUAAAACAUCAUAAACAAAUGUUCAGCUGUAAAAGAUGGCUUCAUGGAA
Trifolium pratense (red clover) is the source of this 2157-nucleotide RNA transcript. It is a transcript of the gene named vacuolar cation/proton exchanger 3-like, with no coding region annotated. The transcript is spliced from 9 exons. The record is from RefSeq and is a predicted model, not a curated record. NCBI's taxonomy places the organism in Eukaryota, Viridiplantae, Streptophyta, Magnoliopsida, Fabales, Fabaceae.